Molecule: long non-coding RNA, 205 nt
Filed under: Mytilus galloprovincialis (Mediterranean mussel)
Lineage: Eukaryota; Metazoa; Mollusca; Bivalvia; Mytilida; Mytilidae
Source: RNAcentral
CUUCCGGUUAUUAUCGCAUGCUUUGCUGUAACAUUAUUGGAUGACAUUUGGACGUCAUUUGGCAAAUUUCGGAAAAUAUACCUCACUAGUACGUUUCUUUGUGUAAAACAUAACAAAGUCCGAUACAAAAAAAAUAUUAGGAAUCAGGAAAAUAUAUUAUUAAAAAAUGCAAAACAAAUAUUACAACGAAAGCAUUUUUUCAAAG